UCCCAGCAGGUCAUGGAAGCUGGCCGAGCACCUGGCCACAGCCGCUGAGCUCAGGAGCGAGAGUCCGAGGGCCAGACCUGGGCAAGAAGGGGUCCGUCACCCAGAGGGCCAGGGUGCAGGCUGCCCCCGCCCAGACGCACCCAAGGCCUCUCACAGGACGAGUGGGGUGGGGACUCCCAGAUGCCCCACCCUCAGAGGGGGCAGUGCCCCCGAGCCGGCGGCGCCCUCCCUGUCUGGUCCCCUGGCAGGUCCGCGAACCCUUGCCGUGCCCUCAGCCUGGGGGCUGCCCAGGGUCCAGGUUCAGCGCUGCCCCGUGGGCCCGGGAUACUGUGUCCAGUGGGGGGCGGGCUUAGCACCCUCCCUGCCCCCCCACCCCCGGCCCGGCAGCCACGUGGUAGGAAGGGGCCCUGGCGCAAUGUCCCGGAAGGCGGUGACAGCGGGCGCUGCUGCUGGGGAGGGUGGCCUGCACCUCUGUCCCCAGCCUGCCUGGGCACUGGGCAGCAGAUGUGACCGCUGUGGCCAUGAGGAAGGGACAGAGCAAUGUGCACGACCGCCCACGUGACCCACAGACAAGCGGAACCAGCACCCAUGUCCUGAUGGGGGUGAGCACAGCAACGUAUGUGGCCCUCCCGGAAAUAUUACUGAGCCAUGAAAAAGAGUAGGAUGCCGAUACCCACUUCUGCCUGGCACAUCCCAAGCACACUGUGCUGAGCCUCAGACACCACAGAUCAUGUGCCCGACAUCUCCUAGGAAAUGGGCGGAGUGGGCGAUUCCUAGAUGGUGUGGCGGGAGGCUGCCAGGCCUCAUAAAAGAGAAGCAAGUGGCUA
Erinaceus europaeus (western European hedgehog) is the source of this 827-nucleotide long non-coding RNA. RefSeq lists it as uncharacterized. Lineage: Eukaryota; Metazoa; Chordata; Mammalia; Eulipotyphla; Erinaceidae. The record is from RefSeq and is a predicted model, not a curated record. The transcript is spliced from 2 exons.